RNAcentral lists this unclassified non-coding RNA (783 nucleotides) under Hevea brasiliensis (rubber tree). The record is from RNAcentral. Lineage: Eukaryota; Viridiplantae; Streptophyta; Magnoliopsida; Malpighiales; Euphorbiaceae.
ACUGCAAAUCCAUAUGCAUCCCUGUCCGCACCAAUAUACAUUAACUCCUCAGAUUCGAGAUCUUAUUAUUCAUAUCAUAACAUACCCAAAAAAGAAAAACUCAAAACAAGUUUGCAAAAACAGAAAAAACACUGAAAACACACACAGACUACCUUCAAGUUUCAUCCCAAAUAAAUACCAUUCAAGUUCUUCAUAGCGAAUAUACCAUUAGCAAACAAAAACAGUAGAGAUAACACACAAAUAAUUAAAACCCAAAUAAAAUGUGGACAAUAAUAGAAUAUUUACUUACCUGCAAUCUGCCUCCGAAGACCGGCAACUCAAACUAGACAACAAUACAUUUCACCAAAAACCCAGAUUCUACUUCCCAUUUCGUUCAUGAUUGCCUAAUCUCAAGCUUUAAACAAAACCACACCACAUUGACACAUUCCACAAUCCACACUUAGUUCCUAAACCAAUCCCAAUAUCAUACAAUGGCAGUAAUACUGACCAAAAUCCAAAACAAAACUCACCAAAUUCACUGAUCAAUCACUCAUUUUCCCAUUAAAAAAAAAUCAAAACAAAAAAUAAAAAAACCGCGAAUCCCCAGUAAAGCAACAUCAAUCAACGCGAUCAAAACAAAUAACAACGAACUUCAACUAAUGUAAAGCCCGGAAACUGCACACACAAUAGGGGCCAGAACUUGACAGAUCAAAGAGAUACACCUAGCAAGGACGCGUGUCUCAAUAAGAAGAAAAAAUAAUAAAUAGUCCAAUUACAAAACCUCUUAUGCUCAAAGGCGAUGAG